Molecule: ribosomal RNA, 440 nt
Filed under: uncultured bacterium
Lineage: Bacteria
Description: bacterial SSU rRNA
Rfam family: Bacterial small subunit ribosomal RNA
Source: RNAcentral
GAUGAACGCUGGCGGCGUGCUUAACACAUGCAAGUCGAGCGAAGCGGCUGAAUUGAUUCUUCGGAUGAUUUUCAGUUGACUGAGCGGCGGACGGGUGAGUAACGCGUGGGUGACCUGCCCCAUACCGGGGGAUAACAGCUGGAAACGGCUGCUAAUACCGCAUAAGCGCACAGAGCUGCAUGGCUCAGUGUGAAAAACUCCGGUGGUAUGGGAUGGGCCCGCGUCUGAUUAGGCAGUUGGCGGGGUAACGGCCCACCAAACCGACGAUCAGUAGCCGGCCUGAGAGGGCGACCGGCCACAUUGGGACUGAGACACGGCCCAAACUCCUACGGGAGGCAGCAGUGGGGAAUAUUGCACAAUGGGGGAAACCCUGAUGCAGCGACGCCGCGUGAGCGAAGAAGUAUUUCGGUAUGUAAAGCUCUAUCAGCAGGGAAGAUAAU